Long non-coding RNA from Manis pentadactyla (Chinese pangolin), 3894 nucleotides. RefSeq lists it as uncharacterized. The record is from RefSeq and is a predicted model, not a curated record. The transcript has 5 exons. NCBI's taxonomy places the organism in Eukaryota, Metazoa, Chordata, Mammalia, Pholidota, Manidae.
CCUGUCACGCCCAUGGCCCCGCCCCGCACGCCGUUUCCCCUCCCCCGGCCUUAGCCCAGCCCGGGCCCCGCCUCCGACCACGCCCCAUCCUCUCUUUUGCUCCCGCACCGCCCACUUCUCGCGUUGUCGCGAAAGCCCGGAAAGGUGGACUUUCACCGCACGGCCCUGGCGGCUGCUGCGGCCGUCCGCCCUCCGCCUCCGGGUCCGGGUCUUUCGGGGAGAGCGCCUGUAGGCAGCUCCUAGGUCCUUUCCUCCUCUGCGUGCCGGCAAACGAAACGGAGCGGCGCCCUCGACGCCGGCGCCGGGCUGGGCCCGCAGAGACGGUCGGGACGGGACUGAGCAUGCUCGGGCGGCGCAGGUGGCGUCCCGAGGUGGAGGUGGCCGCGGUCCCACCGCGACGCCGCAGGCGAUGCAGAGCCUCCAGAAACCCAAGGAGACAUUAAAGAAUGCUGUAAUUCACAAAAUGAACAGCUGCACCAAGAAACAGACGUGAUAGUCCCGUUAGUCUGAACUGAGUAUGGUGCUCACCUGGCCCAUCUGUUCUGGAGACGCCGAGGAGAAGGACGCUCUGAAGUAAGGGCUGGGUGCCGAGCUGUCGGUGUAGAAGACGUUCCCAGGAGCUAUUAGUAUCUGAGAGUUUACGGAAAAUCAGUUACCAUUAAAGGGAAACUAAAAGAAAAUAUAGCCACAUGGAACCCGUGUGUGGAAGACUGAAGAACAGCACGAUGGAAGGAACCAGGCUCUCAGUCGUGCUUGGAGCAGAGGCACCUGUAGGUCACACCUUUGAAAAUUUUAUCUCGGGCACCGCUUCCGGAUCACCCUGGACAUCAUCCCAGUCAGCCGCCACCAAGGGCUCUAGCCGGUGCCCCGGAGGAAACCCACACCCCAUCCCGGGGUGUUGCAGGAGCCCGGAGCUAGGACAGAUCCAAGAAGACCGUCCGUCCUGCUCACUCCGUUCGCCCAAGGCCGUGGCCCACAGCGCUGGCUGCUGUUUUAGAAGUAAGUAGCUUCGGGAAGGGGCAGCACUACCAGAGGCGCGAGGUACUAACCCCGUGGUAAAACUGAAACACUGAAGACUGAAGUGGUAGCAAAUUCACAGUCAUUUAUUUAACUUCAGUGAGAAGGCGGAUCACUGACGCAGAGCCAGGCUGGAAUCUGGUCAGCGCCGUAACCUGCAGCUGCCCUUCUAACAGUGCCGGGCGCUCCUGUCAGCACUCACCUUGGUGAACUGGAGAAAGUAGUAAGGAUCAUCUUCUACUAUGAGGAAAUCGUAUUUUCUUGCGACCUGAAGAAAAGUUAAAACAACUGGACCCGUUCCAGAGAGGCUGCUUCUGUCGCCUUGGGUGGAGAGGACAAUGGUGUGGACCAGGGCUGCGGCCGCCCCACAGUGGGCGUGAGAAACCGAGACCCUGGGGUCGUUGGCUACAUGGCAUAGCUGAGCGUCUUCUGACUGAAUUAUCUUCAUAAUAUAAGUGAUUCAUAAACUAGAUGGUUAGUAAUGAAUUUUUUUAAAUAAAGGAUAUGAAACAUCUAUUACACUAAUACAUAAAGUAGUUUUAAGGAGACGUGAUAUCCAAAGUAUGUAACCAGUAGUAUAGCAUGGGUACAUCAGAGAGAGCGGCGGGCUGGAACAGCGCCCGGGGGCCCCUGCCCCACCAGCGGUGACUGUACCCUGGGAGGCUCAGGGUGGUGUCAGGGGAGAGGCCAGGUGAGCCAGGGCAGUGACGGGGCCCCAGGGGGGACUGGGGCAGCAGUUCACCAAGGGGUAAGGAAGAAUUUCCAUAUUUGACCAAUCGCUAAGGCUGAAAUGGCCAAGUAGCGGCCUUGCUUAUAGACAUAAUUUUGUAAAAUCUUGUGGACUCUUAUUCUUGGAUCAACACAAAGAAAAAAAUUAGAAGUUAAAAAAUAACAGUAAUUAAGUGAUGUUCUCAGAAAAAAAAGUUUUCAAAGGAUAAGCCACACUCUUUUUAGCACUCGAAUACAGAGUUAUGUACUAAGCAGAAAUAAUCCAGACAAACUUAAGACAAACUUAACGGUACUUAGUGAGAAAAACACAUCUACCAUGAAAUACAAAUUAAUAUUGGGCCAUGAAACACACAUUACUGAUGAGCAUGUUUCCUCAGAGCUUGGCACAGUUUCUGUUUGGGUAUGUGAAAACAUUUGUGGGUUUUACAUAUAUAGCCAUAUGUAAGGACUUAAAAAAAAUAACUGAUAAUUAGAAUCCAUUAACCAAGUAUUUGUUGAUGAGACUUCUUUCUGUAUUGAACGGUUUGGUUCCCUUGUCAAAGUCAAUUGACCACAGAUGUAUGGGUUUAUUUCUGGACUUUGAAUGCUAUUCUACAUUCUAUAUCUGUCCUUAUGCCAAUACCACACUGUUUUGAUUACUGUAGCUUUGAAGUUCGUUGUGAACUUGGGAAGGGGGAGUCCUCCAACUUUGUUCUUUUUCAAGAUUAUGUUGGCUGUUUGGGCCCCUUGCAAUCCCUUAUAAAUUUGAAGAUUGGCGGCCAGUUUUAAGGAAAGGUAUGUUUUCUCAAUACUUAUAAGGAGUGAUAAAAUUUAUAUUAAAAUGAACAAUCUGAAAAGGAAAUUAAGAAAAUAAUUCCAUUUAUAAUAGCAACCAAAAGAAUAAAAUAUCUGGGGGAAUAAAGCUAAUAAAAGAGGUGAAAGACUUAGACAUUAAAUACUACAAACCAUUGCUGAAAAAAAAUUAAAGAAGACCCAAAUAAAUGGAAAAGACAUCACCUAUUCAUCAUUUAGAAGCCUGAUACUGUUCAGCUGUCAACACUACAAAAGCAAUCUACAUAUUUUACACAAUCCCUAUCAAAAUUCCAGUAGCUGUUUUUGCAGAAAUAGAAAAGCCAAUCUUCAAAUUUAUAAUUGCUUUUUAUAUUGACUUUUAAAAAGAUAACAUUAAAUUUGGGAAAAAAAAAAAAAAAGAUAAUCCCUGAAGUUGGAAUCAAUAAAGCAUAAAGGUCACUUCACUUAAUUUCCCUACUCUAAGCUAGAACCACUUUUCCAACAUCUCUGUUAGAAGUCAAUCAGGAGUAAGUUCACCUCCUUAAUGACAGGCAGUGAGGGACAAACUCCCACCUCCUUAGGGAGUCAGGUAAGGCUCACAGUUAGAAAGUUCUUACAUUGAGCUGAAAUUGUUUGCCUGUAGUUUCCGCCCUUUGGUUCCAGUUCUGUCAGCCUAAGGACAUGCACAAAUAAAUCCAUGGCCAACUUUUAUAUAUCCGGGGACAAUCGUCAUGUCUCUGUGUAACCUUCCCUUAUUGGGGAAAACAGUCGUAGUUCCUAUACUGGUUUAUCAUAUGGCAUGGUUUCCAAUCCCCUAGUCACUUGGAUUAUUCUUGUCUGAUUGUACUCCAGUUUGUGUAUGUAUCUAUCCUAAAUUACUGUGCUUCAGACACACCCAAUUCUCUCAGCAGUGUGUUCUGACUGGCGCACAGCAGAGCCAGAUAUCAGCUUCCUCAGUCUGGAGGCUAUGGUCCCAUUAAUUUAACACUGGAGAGGAAAGUCCUAAUUAUAUCCUAUCAGUUUACAGCUAUAUUAAGUUGACACAUAACACGAUUAUAUUUAGGCAUAUGGUAAUAAAGAUGGUAAUGAAAAAAUAAGUUUUUGUAAAUAAAGUCUCAUUUUAAGUGAAAUAUUAAGAACACAGGACAUAAUUUUGCACAAUCUCAUUUUAUCACCUAUACAUUUAGAUUUUGUAAAAUGAAAUGUAUAAAGAGGGUAUAUUUAAUAUAUAUUGCAUAUAUCAUUUAAGAUUCUCCUGUUUACAGAUGAAAGAUGCCAUUUUAUUUUUCAGUGGACAGGUAAUUCUAAAAGGUACAAUGCUUUCUUCUUAUUUAUUUAGAGUUGCCUUUUCUAAAAAUGUGUACUCACAAUUUGAAG